CAGGCUUGUGGGAGUCGCAGAGGCUGCAGCUCAGGGCCCCACCCCCAGCAUUCACCUGAGGCCAGAGCUCCAAGCCGGCCUGGGAGGGAAGGGCUGUGUACCGUUGCCCUGGAUACCAGCACCCAGAAGGGGAGGGGCUGUUUGUUACCUGGAGCCUCCAGGGAGACCCCAGACCAGGCCGCUGGGCUGUUGGAGCGCCUUGGUGUGAUCCAGCUCAUGGUAAUCUGGAAUUCCUGGGCUCAAGCGAUCCUCCCACUUCUGCCUCCUGAGUUACUGGGACUACAGGCGCCUGCCUGCACCGCCAGGCCCAGCCCACAGCCCCUUCGACCUCAGUGACCAGCACUCAUCCCCAAGCUGGAAGCCUCACCUUUUCCAGCCAUCUCCACACCCCCUGGGUCACCCCCAGGGACCCCCGUGGGCAUUGCCAUUAUCACGACAAGCAUUCCCCCUCUUCUAGGACAAAAGUGAGGCCAGACCUGACCCACAAGACCCAAGCACUCCCGCCUUCA
Cebus imitator (Panamanian white-faced capuchin) is the source of this 509-nucleotide long non-coding RNA. RefSeq lists it as uncharacterized. Lineage: Eukaryota; Metazoa; Chordata; Mammalia; Primates; Cebidae. The transcript has 3 exons. The record is from RefSeq and is a predicted model, not a curated record.